CUGACGUGGAAAAAUGGAUUAAUAGGACAAGAAGAACCCUCAUUUUUCAAUUUUAGUCUUGAACACUAGAAGACAACAAGUUUAUAUAUAUUGCUGGCCAAAUAGUGGGAAAACACCCACCCACUGAAGAGAUCUAAGGAACAGGACUUGUCGGAUCACCUCCCAGAAUUGUUCCUCUUCUACAUCUAACCAAGUGGCACCUGUGCUGUGAGAUGCAUGCAUCACCAUCAGGAUUUUGCCAGGUCAGGAGGUUGAAAUGAAGAGGAAGGCAAAUGGGAGAUCAGAAAGAACCAGCAUUGUCUCAGUCAUGCUGGGGCAUGAAGAAUGAACUUAGCAUUAUCCAGUGCACACUUGAGAAUGACUCUAAGGGAGGGGGCACAGGGAUGAUUGUGACCAGAGGCAAUGCACACAGCAGUUCCAACUCCAAGCUUAGCUGAAAAGCAUUGUGGAGGCAGGAAAAGGAAAUAAGGGAAUUUGUGUGCAGCCAUCUUGGUCUUGUUAACAAGAGAGCAAGAAUCAGGCUAAGUCUGUGGCCUGACAACGUGAGAUCUGUAAUUAGAUGCUGCCUUUGCCUCUCGCCUCCACACAGAGAUAAGAAUAGAAUGCUGACUCUUGCAGGGUCCUUGAGAUAAGGAGCAUCUGGGUGGAACUAAAAUAAUUGUUAGCCAUUGGUGUUUGUAAUGGGAAGGAGACUAAUUGUUAUUGUUAUUAUAUCUAAUGGACAGUAUAUAAACUGCUUCAUAAUUGCUUGUAUUCGAAGAUCUGCCCCGUCCGCGAACCAGUUUUUUCCUUGCUGCAGCUCGUAAUAAAACUGCCUCUGGCUACUAGUUGCUUACAAACGCAGAGUGAAGACAAUGUUUUCUUCCACAAUUUGGCGCUGUGACUCGGAUGGCAACACCCAAUUGAAGACAGUGACAGCGGCUGCGGACCGUCCCCCUUCAUCCUCAGGGCACCAAACGAGAGAUCUUUAAUGACAGAGACAGGAUGAAGCAACUUUCCAAAGGAUGCACUGACACGACAGAUCACAUGUUCAGUCUCCACCUCAUGGCUGGCUGUCUGGAAGUGGUGGUCUCUGAGGUAAUAUUUUCCAGGAGUUCAUCACCAGUGAUGAUUUGUGGGAGAAGGGCUGGAAACAUGUUCUGGGGUAGGCUGGUAAAUUACCUUUGUCUUCCCAAUGUUGAGGGAGACUCCCGGGCUCUGAUUGAUGCCUAAGAAAAGAUUAAGAUCAGCUUCUGUGCACAAGGACAGCACAAUCAUCAGCAUACUGAAGGUAAUAAGAGUCUUGGUGACCUUCGUUUUAGAAGGAAGACACUGCAGACUCAAGAGCUGGCUAUCCAUGUGAUAUUCAAUCCCAAUUCCAGAAUAAUGGUGGUCACAAUAAGAAUCAAGAUCACGUCAAGAUAGAUGGAAAUAAAAGAGGGUUGAGAUGAUAAUGCAGCCAUAUCAAUGCAGAUGGUGAACAGAUGCAUCUCCAACCCCCUACUGACCACAGCUGCAGUCAUCCCAUCAUAAACUAGCCUAAGAACGCAAAUAAACUUCAAUGGACAACCAAACCUAAACACCCUCCAUAAUGCUUCAAAACUGAUGGUAUGAAAGACCUUAUUUAAAUCAAUAAAUGCCAUAAACAAUGGCUGGUGGUAUUCUGGAUACUUCUCUUGGACCUGUUGUGCCACAAAAAUCAUGUUAGUGACACAUGAAGAGAGUCUAGAGCCAUACUGGGAUUCUGGAAGGGAAGAGAUGAUUCCAAAGGAUGCAAGCAAGAAUCUUUCAGGCAAUAGGAAGACCACCACUUAGUCUCCAGGGCAACUGGAAGUAUGGGAGUCUGGGAAGGCCUUCCAGGAAAGGGAGUUGGGUAUAAACAAAGAGCUCCCUUUCCUCACUGCAGAAGCACUAGAGGUGCUGAAAGAUCCAUCAAAAACUCAGUUGCCUGUAGAACAGACUCAGACUGAUCUGUUGGAAACGUAGAUAGGUAAGCAAGCUCUGGAUUUAAGUAGGGACAGGAUUUUUCAAAUGGGCAUGAAACAGAUGUGGGGGGAAAGACAAGAAUGGCAGGAAGAAGAAGAGUGGCAGGAAGAAGAAGAGUGGCAGGAAGAAGCUUGUUCACAGAAUGAAAGCUUCAUUUUUAAUGAAGUAAUUUAACAAGCUAUAUUAAUGCAUCAUUAACAGGCCACCUGCCCUUUCAGGACACCCAAGUAACCUGUCAGAUGAUGGACAAUGCCUUAAUAAAGUGGCAAUAUACAAAUUUUGUAAUGCUCUGUGACGCAAAUACCUACUAAGUGAGGCAAAGCUGAGUACUUGUUUUUAAUGUUUAAAUCUUGCAUAUUUUUAAAAAUGGGCAGUUUUUCAGGUGUCCGUUCCCCUCCAAUCUCUCAUUUAUUCAGAAUACAGAAGGGACUGGCUAGCAGAAGGCUGACUAACAACGCAUUUCCCCAAGACUGUUCAAACAACUUCUCUGUAGGGCAGGAGUAAGGCUGUGUCCUUUUAAAAGUCAGCCUUUUUUGCACAUACAAAAGGGGCCUGGUCAUGCAUGGUGCUGUGCAUUCUCAAACGCCAUUGAUUUCCAUUAUGACCACAUACAAAAGAGCCCUUUAUUAAAAAUAC
Non-coding RNA from Pelodiscus sinensis (Chinese soft-shelled turtle), 2601 nucleotides. Lineage: Eukaryota; Metazoa; Chordata; Testudines; Trionychidae. The record is from RefSeq and is a predicted model, not a curated record.